RNAcentral lists this ribosomal RNA (325 nucleotides) under uncultured Bacillota bacterium. RNAcentral's name for it is "bacterial SSU rRNA". It matches the Rfam family "Bacterial small subunit ribosomal RNA", at positions 28 to 351 of the family's 1533-position model. Lineage: Bacteria; Bacillati; Bacillota. The record is from RNAcentral.
GACGAACGCUGGCGGCGUGCCUAACGCAUGCAAGUCGAGCGAGGGGAGGUCGCAAGACCGAACCUAGCGGCGAACGGGUGAGUAACACGUGGGUAAUCUGCCUAUGAGACGGGGAUAGCCCCGGGAAACUGGGGAUAAUACCGGAUGUGAUCCAGCUGACGGAGGUUAGCUGGAGGAAAUGGCGCAAGCCGCUCAUAGAUGAGCCCGCGGCCCAUUAGCUAGUUGGUAGGGUAAAGGCCUACCAAGGCGACGAUGGGUAGCCGGUCUGAGAGGAUGGCCGGCCACACUGGGACUGAGACACGGCCCAGACUCCUACGGGAGGCAG